GCGAAGUGCGUGCGAGCGGGCGCGGUAAGACGGGGGGUGCGAGCGUUGGCCGGAAGCAGUGGGCGUAAAGGGCGCGUAGGCGGUUUGUUAAGGCACUUGUGAAAUCCCGGUGCUCAACGCCGGGGCUGCAGGUGAGACUGGCAGACUAGAGCUCGGUAGAGGCGAAUGGAAUUCCCGGUGUAGCGGUGGAAUGCGUAGAUAUCGGGAAGAACAUCGGUGGCGAAGGCGGUUCGCUGGGCCGAUGCUGACGCUGAUGCGCGAAAGCGUGGGGAGCAAACAGGAUUAGAUACCCUUGUAGUC
RNAcentral lists this ribosomal RNA (300 nucleotides) under uncultured Olsenella sp. RNAcentral describes it as "bacterial SSU rRNA". It matches the Rfam family "Bacterial small subunit ribosomal RNA", at positions 496 to 795 of the family's 1533-position model. Lineage: Bacteria; Bacillati; Actinomycetota; Coriobacteriia; Coriobacteriales; Atopobiaceae. The record is from RNAcentral.